This 1218-nucleotide ribosomal RNA is filed under the name uncultured Rhizaria. RNAcentral describes it as "SSU rRNA". It matches the Rfam family "Eukaryotic small subunit ribosomal RNA", at positions 577 to 1805 of the family's 1831-position model. The record is from RNAcentral.
CGGUAAUUCCAGCUCCAAUAGCGUAUACUAAAGUUGUUGCAGUUAAAAAGCUCGUAGUUGGAUUUCUGCGGGGACGGAGCGGCCGGACGCAACUUGCGUCUCGAGCUAGCGCUUUCCCCGCAUCCUGCCGCGAACCGUGCUACCAUUAGUUUGGUGGCGCUGGGGAUCGGCUCGAUUACUUUGAGAAAAAUAGAGUGUUCAAAGCAGGCCACACGCCUUGAAUAAGUUAGCAUGGAAUAAUGACUAAGGACUUCGGUUCUAUUUUGUUGGUGUUCGGGACUGAAGUAAUGAUUGAUAGGGACAGUUGGGGCGGUCUGUAUUCCAAAGCGAGAGGUGAAAUUCUUAGACCUUCGGAAGACAAACAGCUGCGAAAGCGUUCCGCAAGAAUGUUCCCUUUGAUCAAGAACGAAAGUUGGGGGAUCGAAGACGAUCAGAUACCGUCGUAGUCUCAACUAUAAACUAUACCAGCUAGGGAUCGGCCAACGUUUAAUUAUUCGACUUAAUCGGCACCUUAUGAGAAAUCAAAGCAUCUGGGUUCCAGGGGGAGUAUAAUCGCAAAACUGAAACUUAAAAGAAUUGACAAAAAAGCACCACCAGCCGUGGAGCCUGUGGCUUAAUUUGACUCAACACGGGAAAACUUACCAAAUCCAGACAUAGGAAAAAUUGACAGAUUGAUAGCUCUUUCUUGAUUCUGUGAGUGGUAAUGCAUGGCCGUUUUUAGUUAAUGGAGUGAUUUGUCUGCUUAAUUGCGUUAACAAACGAGACCCCAGCCUGCUAAAUAGCGCGGCCGAGCUUUGCUCGGUACGAGCUUCUUAAAAAGACCAUAAUGCGCGAUAGCACAAGGAAGUUUAAAGCAACAACAGGUCUAUGAUGCCCUUAGAUGUUCUGGGCCGCACACAAACUACACUGGCGCCUGCAACGAGCAUAUCAGCUGGCCCGAGAGGGUCUUGGCUAAUCUUUUGAACCGGCGCCGUGCUUGGGAUUGACCUUUGCAAUUGUUGGUCAUGCAACGAGGAAUGCCUUGUAAACGCGAGUCAUCAGCUCGCAUUGAAUACGUCCCUGCCCUUUGUACACACCGCCCGUCGCUCCUACCGAUGAAUGUUCCGAUGAAAUUUUCGGAGAGCGCCAGAAAACGGGGCUCUGCCUUGCAGAUCUGGAGGCUCAAAGUCACUUAAAUCUGAACAUUUCGAGGAAGGAGAAGUCGUAACAAGGUAGCCG